This 89-nucleotide transfer RNA is filed under the name Parcubacteria group bacterium QH_9_35_7. RNAcentral's name for it is "tRNA-Ser". It matches the Rfam family "tRNA". From Rfam's summary of the family: Transfer RNA (tRNA) molecules are approximately 80 nucleotides in length. Their secondary structure includes four short double-helical elements and three loops (D, anti-codon, and T loops). The record is from RNAcentral.
GGAGAGAUGGCAGAGCCUGGUUGAAUGCGCCGGUCUUGAAAACCGGUAGGCCUUUUACGGCCUCGGGGGUUCAAAUCCCCCUCUCUCCG